CUUUAAAGAUACCAAAAAUACAAAUAAAUCCCACUGUAUCUUUAAAAGUUAGUCUAAAAAGGUACAGCCUUUUAGAAAUGGGUACAACCUUCACUAGAGAGUAAGAUCUAAAAAUACCAUAGUAGGCCUAAAAGCAGCCAUCAAUUAAGAAAGCGUUAAAGCUCAACAACAAUAGUAUUAUUAAUCCCAGCAAUAACAUUAGCCAACUCCUAGAUUUAAUACUGGACUAUUCUAUUACUAAAUAGAAGCAAUAAUGUUAAUAUGAGUAACAAGAAAUAUUUUCUCCUCGCACAAGUUUAAGUCAGUAACUGAUAAUACCCUGACCGUUAACAGUAAAUAAAAAUAACCUAACAAUAAAUGAUUUAUUACUUAUACUGUUAACCCAACACAGGAGUGCACCCAGGAAAGAUUCAAAGAA
This 418-nucleotide ribosomal RNA is filed under the name Capra hircus (goat). Its description in RNAcentral is "partial 16S ribosomal RNA". Lineage: Eukaryota; Metazoa; Chordata; Mammalia; Artiodactyla; Bovidae. The record is from RNAcentral.